CCUGAAUGAUGAAAUUUUCCACACUAUUCGCAGUUUCCACGCAAGCCAUCACUCGAGCCUUUGAGAUGGACGAUGAGCGGCAAUCCUUCCUUGGAUGUCUGACUUU
This 106-nucleotide small nucleolar RNA is filed under the name Colletotrichum fructicola Nara gc5. RNAcentral's name for it is "small nucleolar RNA SNORD14". The record is from RNAcentral. Lineage: Eukaryota; Fungi; Ascomycota; Sordariomycetes; Glomerellales; Glomerellaceae.